Molecule: long non-coding RNA, 1048 nt
Filed under: Homo sapiens (human)
Lineage: Eukaryota; Metazoa; Chordata; Mammalia; Primates; Hominidae
Description: HSALNT0241582
Source: RNAcentral
AGAAGAAGAAAGGAAAUUUGUCCGUUGAGCAUUAAAUCAAAGAAGAGAAAUUUGCCAAAUUGCAGCUGAAGGAGGUGGGUUAAUCUACCCUCAUUCAGGUGUUGGAGGAAUGAAUUAUCUUCUCCCUCCAAAAGAGCAAACCUCUACAGCCACUGCAAAGCUUGGGUACACCAGAGUCAGGUUCUCCAGACUAGACAGGCCCAGAUAAACACUAGUCAUAUAAACACUAGUAAGUUCAUGCCCUCGGGGCCCUGUUCAUAGAUGUCCUCAGAUCCCCUUCUUUCACGUGCUCUUUAUUUAAGUCAAGUGGAAUAAAAUUCACUAGGCUUAAGAUUUCUCAGUUACAACCACAUCUCUGACAUACAUUCAAAUCACCCACAUCCUGCUGGGGGUGUUCCCAAAACUCUUCUGUUGCAGGAAUGUUGUGAAUGCCCUGAAACCCACACCCUGAAAUGUAGAGACAGAGAGCAAGCUGGAUGGUUCCCAGGGGCUCCCAGAGCCUCCUGGGGUGGCAACAGCUGGAAGAACUCACCAGAGUCCAGUGCUGGGUCUUGGGCAGUGUCUGGCUUGCAGCCUUAGAAAUCACACUAAUGGUGGAAGGUACAAAGAGUUCAAAGAGACUGAUCUAUGUAGCCAGAAUGCCAGUUUAUUAAUUUACAGUGAGAAAUCAACUCAGAAAUGCAACUCACGUCAGCCUGGGUAGCAUUCUCUUUCUAUAAACAAGCCACACAGGAAGCCAAGUUAUCAUCAGGUUGCUUGGUAAUAUAAACCAGAGCCCAGGGAGUUUGUCACCUGAUUGGAAUGUUUAACAGUAUUGGUUUCUCACAGCCUAAUGUGUUCAUCUUUACAAUAGGUGUGUAUACCUGUCGGGAGGAAGAACCCAAGAGACCAACUGGCAACUUCCUUGAUAAUUUCUGGUAUUUUGAGUGUAUGUUUCUGCUUAGCAAAUAUUUAUUGAGCAUCUACUGUGUGUUGUAUAAUAAAGAAUUUGUAGGCCAGGCUCAGUGGCUCACACAUGUAAUUCCAGCACUUUGGGAGACUGAGGGAA